CUUCAACAGCGCCUCACAGGAAACUGGCCGUGGCCUGUGUUCCGGCUCCCUUCUCAUCCCCUUUUUCAGUUUCCACAUCUAAUCUCCUCAGUCUUCACAGUAGACUCACCAACCGUAGAGCCGCAGAGCCAGAAAAAGAAGGCUAAGCCAUGAAAGGGAAAUUUAAAUCUUUGCUCUUUCUUAUCAGCAAACCCCAGAUGGGAGAGCAAGGGCUUGAGGAAGGACAGAAGGACGGCCAUAAGACUAUGCAGUGCUGUGUUCUUUCCAGAGACUUGGGAUAUGGUUGCUAUGGUGGGCAGCUGGGGUGGCUCUAGUUUUUAUCCUUGUGUUGGUUGGUUUCUCAGUUUGCUCACUGAAAGCUGUCUCUAAAGAUGUACUUCAGUAAGCAACACAAACAGGCCCGGAGUUUCUGGGUGUGAAAUACAGGAAGAAAUACAAAGGCCUAAGAACGGACUUGAGAUAUGUCAUAUGCCCCGCAUUAACCUGAAAUCCACAACCCUCAGUAAAGACUGACGUUUUACUUAUACCAUUGAGAAGUUCUCGUGCUCGCUUCGGCAGCACAUAUACUAAAAUUGGAAUGAUACAGAGAAGACACAAUAGUGCCAUGGAACAUGUGGUUGUUGGCCUCGUUCUCAUCUUCUCCAAGUAGAAGGUUAUGUAUGUGGCUUAAUGUACAGCUAAGGGAAGAAAUUCCCUGAGUCUUUGACUGUGAUAUGGGAGACUGGAAUACUACUAUGAACAACCUACCGGUCUGAUGCUGAGCAGAUCAUAACGGCUUUGUUCUACCCAUCUUCACACAGGUUCCUGCGCAUGCCCAACUCACCGUGCUGCUGGGCGCAUAGAGAGAAUACAUCCAUCCCUUUGCAUUUCUCAUUGACUUCCUACCUUCUGCUAUGACAGCUAUCGCGACCAAAAUCGUAGGUUAAGCCUUGAAAGCAAGACUAUUCAACCCAAGUAUACAUGGGCUGUAUAUCUAAGUUUUCUUUUGCCACAUUUUUAAAUGUUAAAAAAAAACAUAGAAGCUAAUUCCUAACAGCUCAUUUACUAUAACAUAAUCAAAUAGUAUUACUUUGAUAUUCAGUCAAUAUGUACACAAUGUAUCAACGUAGUUAUUUUUAUAUUUGCCUUCAAAACGUGGUAUUUUAUACUCAAAGGACAUCUCAGCAUGGACUUUAUAUAUUUCACAAGCUUGGUAGCCACGUGUGACCAGCGGCUUUACAACCCCCACCCUCACCCCACUCUCCACUGUUGCCCUCUGCCCUGUGUGAUUGCCAAAAGCAAUGCUGUCACCUUCUGGGAAGAUCUCAGAGACUCACAUGCAAUUAAAAAUGGC
Molecule: long non-coding RNA, 1333 nt
Organism: Rattus norvegicus (Norway rat)
Lineage: Eukaryota; Metazoa; Chordata; Mammalia; Rodentia; Muridae
Source: Ensembl